UACGAACUGUGCAAACGUUAUUCGGAAUCACUGGGCUUAAAGGGUGCGUAGGCGGUCAUUUAAGUAGGGUGUGAAAGCCCUCGGCUUAACCGGGGAAUGGCGUCCUAAACUGGAUGACUCGAGUGAGAUAGAGGUGUGUGGAACUUCCGGUGGAGCGGUGAAAUGUGUUGAUAUCGGAAGGAACGCCGGUGGCGAAAGCGACACACUGGGUCUCAACUGACGCUGAGGCACGAAAGCCAGGGGAGCGAACGGG
RNAcentral lists this ribosomal RNA (253 nucleotides) under uncultured bacterium. RNAcentral describes it as "partial 16S ribosomal RNA". It matches the Rfam family "Bacterial small subunit ribosomal RNA", at positions 524 to 776 of the family's 1533-position model. The record is from RNAcentral.